AAAAUCCUGAGAUGUUCGUAAGCCCUUGAUAAUUCGACCGACAUUAGACAUCCGGGAGUUCGGGUUCUGUGGUGUAUGACAUGCCUAAUUAAUGUAGGAAGUCAAAAGCUACAGAUAGAACACCCACCUGUGUGAGCAGCGGGUGCGAAUUAGAAGGGCGACGGCACCACGGGAUAACC
RNAcentral lists this non-coding RNA (179 nucleotides) under Caloranaerobacter azorensis. RNAcentral describes it as "6S RNA". It matches the Rfam family "6S / SsrS RNA". Rfam says of the family: E. coli 6S RNA was the first non coding RNA to be sequenced, but its function was unknown until recently. It consists of 184 nucleotides that fold into an extended hairpin structure with a large single-stranded internal bulge. The 6S RNA specifically associates with RNA polymerase holoenzyme containing the sigma70 specificity factor. Lineage: Bacteria; Bacillati; Bacillota; Tissierellia; Tissierellales; Thermohalobacteraceae. The record is from RNAcentral.